Molecule: ribosomal RNA, 253 nt
Filed under: uncultured bacterium
Lineage: Bacteria
Description: partial 16S ribosomal RNA
Rfam family: Bacterial small subunit ribosomal RNA
Source: RNAcentral
UACGUAGGGGGCAAGCGUUGUCCGGAAUUAUUGGGCGUAAAGAGCGCGUAGGCGGUCCGAUAAGUCGGCUGUGAAAGUCAGGGGCUCAACCCCUGAAUGCCGGCCGAUACUGUCGGGCUAGAGUCCGGAAGAGGCGAGUGGAAUUCCCGGUGUAGCGGUGAAAUGCGCAGAUAUCAGGAGGAACACCAAUAGCGAAGGCAGCUCGCUGGGACGGUACUGACGCUAAGGCGCGAAAGCGUGGGGAGCGAACAGG